UACGAAGGGGGCUAGCGUUGCUCGGAAUCACUGGGCGUAAAGCGCACGUAGGCGGAUCUUUAAGUCAGGGGUGAAAUCCUGGAGCUCAACUCCAGAACUGCCUUUGAUACUGGGGAUCUCGAGUCCGGAAGAGGUGAGUGGAACUCCGAGUGUAGAGGUGAAAUUCGUAGAUAUUCGCAAGAACACCAGUGGCGAAGGCGGCUCACUGGCCCGAUACUGACGCUGAGGCACGAAAGCGUGGGGAGCAAACAGG
This 253-nucleotide ribosomal RNA is filed under the name uncultured bacterium. Its description in RNAcentral is "partial 16S ribosomal RNA". It matches the Rfam family "Bacterial small subunit ribosomal RNA", at positions 524 to 776 of the family's 1533-position model. The record is from RNAcentral.